This 253-nucleotide ribosomal RNA is filed under the name uncultured bacterium. Its description in RNAcentral is "partial 16S ribosomal RNA". It matches the Rfam family "Bacterial small subunit ribosomal RNA", at positions 524 to 776 of the family's 1533-position model. The record is from RNAcentral.
UACAGAGGUCUCAAGCGUUGUUCGGAUUCAUUGGGCGUAAAGGGUGCGUAGGCGGCGCGGUAAGUCGGGUGUGAAAUCUCGGAGCUUAACUUCGAAACUGCAUUCGAUACUGCCGUGCUUGAGGACUGGAGAGGAGACUGGAAUUUACGGUGUAGCGGUGAAAUGCGUAGAUAUCGUAAGGAAGACCAGUGGCGAAGGCGGGUCUCUGGACAGUUCCUGACGCUGAGGUGCGAAAGCGUGGGGAGCAAACAGG